This 356-nucleotide long non-coding RNA is filed under the name Bos taurus (domestic cattle). RNAcentral describes it as "long non-coding RNA NONBTAT012672". The record is from RNAcentral. Lineage: Eukaryota; Metazoa; Chordata; Mammalia; Artiodactyla; Bovidae.
AAACAAUCACAUUUCACAAAGUGCUGGUUGAGGAAUUUCUAAAGAACUUUAAGAAACUCUUGAAAUUAUGAAAAAAUUGUACUUUGAUUCUACAGAAAUCUCAAUCAUGGUGUCUAUUUUAUUCAUUUUUUAGAGUUACAAUGACUGAAUUUCUAGAAGAACAACUACUUAGAUUAGGGGGGCAAGUGGAUUAUCCUUCCAAUUAUUUUUAAGUUAACUGUGACUAAUAUCAGGGAAAAAAGAAGCAGUCUGGAAAUGCUGAAAGAAGUAAGGUUUUCAAUGAAAGUUUUGGUGCAGAUUUUUUAUAAUUAUUGGCUUCUGGAGCUUGCGACUGUCUUGAAUCUUAGCGUCCCUUC